This 500-nucleotide ribosomal RNA is filed under the name uncultured bacterium. RNAcentral describes it as "partial 16S ribosomal RNA". It matches the Rfam family "Bacterial small subunit ribosomal RNA", at positions 30 to 523 of the family's 1533-position model. The record is from RNAcentral.
AUUGAACGCUGGCGGCAGGCCUAACACAUGCAAGUCGAGCGGAUGAGUGGAGCUUGCUCCAUGAUUCAGCGGCGGACGGGUGAGUAAUGCCUAGGAAUCUGCCUGGUAGUGGGGGACAACGUUUCGAAAGGAACGCUAAUACCGCAUACGUCCUACGGGAGAAAGCAGGGGACCUUCGGGCCUGGCGCUAUCAGAUGGACCCGGGUCGGAUUAGCUAGUAGGUGAGGUAAUGGCUAACCUAGGCGACGAUCCGUAACUGGUCUGAGAGGAUGAUCAGUCACACUGGAACUGAGACACGGUCCAGACUCCUACGGGAGGCAGCAGUGGGGAAUAUUGGACAAUGGGCGAAAGCCUGAUCCAGCCAUGCCGCGUGUGUGAAGAAGGUCUUCGGAUUGUAAAGCACUUUAAGUUGGGAGGAAGGGCAGUAAGUUAAUACCUUACUGUUUUGACGUUACCAACAGAAUAAGCACCGGCUAACUUCGUGCCAGCCGCCGCCGUAA